This 745-nucleotide ribosomal RNA is filed under the name uncultured Anaerococcus sp. RNAcentral describes it as "bacterial SSU rRNA". It matches the Rfam family "Bacterial small subunit ribosomal RNA", at positions 28 to 776 of the family's 1533-position model. Lineage: Bacteria; Bacillati; Bacillota; Tissierellia; Tissierellales; Peptoniphilaceae. The record is from RNAcentral.
GAUUAACGCGGGCGGCGUGCAUAACACAUGCAAGUCGAACGAUGAAACUUUUUUGAUUUCUUCGGAAUGAUUAAAAGUGGAUUAGUGGCGGACGGGUGAGUAACGCGUGAGUAACCUGCCUUAGAGAAGGGGAUAGCCUUUGGAAACGAAGAAUAAUACCCUAUGAAACCAUAACCUCGCAUGAGGCCUUGGUCAAAGAUUUAUCGCUCUAAGAUGGACUUGCGUCUGAUUAGUUAGUUGGUGGGGUAACGGCCCACCAAGACAGCGAUCAGUAGCCGGCUUGAGAGAGUGUACGGCCACAUUGGGACUGAGACACGGCCCAGACUCCUACGGGAGGCAGCAGUGGGGAAUUUUGCACAAUGGGGGAAACCCUGAUGCAGCGACGCCGCGUGAUUUAGAAGGCCUUCGGGUUGUAAAAAUCUUUUCUAUGGGAAGAAAAUGACAGUACCAUAGGAAUAAGGACCGGCUAAUUACGUGCCAGCAGCCGCGGUAAUACGUAAGGUCCGAGCGUUGUCCGGAAUCAUUGGGCGUAAAGGGUACGUAGGCGGGUAAGCAAGUUAGAAGUGAAAUCCUAUAGCUCAACUAUAGUAAGCUUUUAAAACUGCUCAUCUUGAGGUAUGGAAGGGAAAGUGGAAUUCCUAGUGUAGCGGUGAAAUGCGCAGAUAUUAGGAGGAAUACCGGUGGCGAAGGCGACUUUCUGGCCAUAACCUGACGCUGAGGUACGAAAGCGUGGGUAGCAAACAGG